UUCCGGUUAUCCAUAAAAGGGAAUCAGGUGAAAAUCCUGAGCAGUGCCCGCUACUGUCAUCUCCUUUUUAGGAAGAACAAGGUAACCACUGUCAUAACAGCUGUAUGGAUUAUAGCAAUGAUGGGAAGGUGUUCUUUCAGGAGAGAGCCAGGAAACCUGCCAUGCCU
RNAcentral lists this non-coding RNA (167 nucleotides) under uncultured Prevotella sp. Lineage: Bacteria; Pseudomonadati; Bacteroidota; Bacteroidia; Bacteroidales; Prevotellaceae. The record is from RNAcentral.